GAAAAGAAGGAAACUUCAAAAGAACCAAAUAGGACUGAGAAUGAAAACAUAAUUUAUGAUGCUCCAACUCUGGCAUAUUUCCGGACAGUCAGAGAAAAUGCAUUCAAAAAACUAGAGCUAGAAAGAAGGACAACCUGGGAAGAAAAAGCCUGAAGUUGAUCAGUGAAUUGAAAGAGAUGUGUGCCAUGAAAGAAAUUGAAGCUAGGGAAGAUGAAAAGGUCAUUGAAAAGGACAAUCGUUUUUAUGAUGAUUUGACUCUGGCAUCUCAUUUGAGAACCAGAGCAACUGAAUUUGAAAAACAGAAACUGGCAAUAAAGACCAUUUUUGAAGAGAAAACACAGACAUUUCUCAAGGAAAUCAAAGAGAUAUGUGCUAUGGAAGUAAAUUAUGUUACAGAAAUGGAAAACUUGAAUAAGAAGGAAAACACAACCAAAAAAGAAAAGAUUAUUUAUCGUUCUUCCAUCCUGGCACCGCUCUGGAAAAUCGGAGAAAGUGAUUUCAAAAAACAAGAACUGGCUAAAACAGCAAUUUUAGAAGAACAAACGCAAACGUUCCUCAAGGACAUUAAAGAGAUAUGUGCCAUGGAAAACAAUGAAGCUCCUACAGUGGACAGCAUCAUUGAAACGAAAGCCAUCACAAAAAAAAAAGAAACUGAAUUGAAAACACAGGAGCUGAUCAUAACAACAGCCUGUCAAGAGAGAGCACAGAAAUUUUACAAUGAAGUGAAAAAGAUAUUGGCCAUGGAAAAAAUUGAAGUGGAAAGUGGAACUGAAGAGGAAAAUGGUUUUGAUGAUUAUUCAAUUCUGUUAUCUCUCUGGAGAACCAGAGAAGCUGUAUAUAAGAAACAAAGACUGCAAUUCCAAACAGUUUUAGAAGAAAGAAGUCAGACAUUCUUCAAAGAAGUCAAAGAGUUAUGUGCUAUGAGGAGAGAAUUCAAUUCAUGGGAAAACAUUAAUGAGGAAGAAAAUAUCACCAUAAAGGAAAACAUGACUAAAAAGGAAAACAUUUAUGAUGCUUCGACUCUACUAUCUUCCUGGACAAACAGAGAAACUGAAUUCAGGAAACAAGAACUGACAAGAAAAAUCAUUUUGCAAGAGCAAACGCAGGCAUUCCUCACGGACAUCAAAGAGUUGUAUGCCGUGGAAAGUGAUGAACAUUCGGAAGAGGAAAACAUCCUUGAAAUGGAAAGAAUGAUUGAAAAUGAAACCGCUCUUAAUGAGGAAAACAUCACAGAAACAAAAACCACCACUGGGAAGAAAUCUAUUCGUUAUACUGGUUGGACCCUGGCCCGUCUCUGGACAAUCAGACAAAAUGAAAUAAAAAAACAAGAAAUGGCAAGAAAAGCAGCUCUGGAAGAGAAAGCUGAGAAUUACAUCAAAGUAAUCAAAGAGAUAUAUGCAAUGGAAAUCAAUGAUGACAAGGAGAAGAACGAAUUGAAUGCAAGGGAAUACACAAACACUUCUGAAAAGGUACCAGAAGUGGAACAAAAAAUAAGAGAAAAGGAAAAAACCAAAGAAAUAUCAGGAUUCCUGCUGAACAAAAACCUAGAAGAUCCACCCAUAAUAAUUUUAGAAACAGAAGACUCCAAUAAAUCUGACAAUAGGAGUGAGAACAUUGAAACUUUGGAAGCAUCACCAGAGACAAGGUCUGCAUCAUGGAUUCCCAGGUGUUUUCGAACCCUCAGGAAAAAAUUCAAAAAGGGACCAAAAGAGAGAAAAGAUCAACAGAAGGAUCAAGGAAAUUUUCCAUCAACUCAAGGGGAAAUAUCGCGCCGUACCAUGGAAAGAAGCUUUGACAACCAAAAUCGAAAGGAAAAAAAGAUUCUCCUUAAGAAGAUAAAAAAACUCCAACGGCUCGAGGCAGAACUGGAAAGAAGAAAUGCAAAAAGAGUCCUAAUGAGGACGGGCAUAAGAGAGAAGCCCAUCUAUUAGAACUAUUCUCAUUACAUCACAUGAAGCGGCACAAAGACCUGUUACAGUGGAGGGAAAGAAGAGAGGGAGAUGAGCAUUGUUUGAACCUUACUGUCAUCAAAUUUGACUCAAGAAGGGAAUAACAUAGGUUUAGAAAUCUAACUUGUCUAAUAUGCAGUAGGAGGGGAAAGAAAAGGGAGGGGGGAUGGAAGGGACGGAAGAAGUAGUAAAGGAAAAAGGAAAGAAAAGGGAGGGAGCUGAUAGAAGGGGGGGCAGAUCGAGGGAGGCGGUGGUCAAAAGCAAAACUCUGGUGAAGAGGGAAAGGGAGAAACGAGAAAGAAAAGCAUAAAGGGGCAGGGAAUGGGAUGGAGAGAAAGACACUGAUAGUAAUCAUAACUGUGAAUGACAUGAACUCUCCCAUAAAUGGAAGUGGAUAGCAGAAUACCAAAUUAGAAACACUGAAAACCAGAGGAGAGAUUAAUAAAGUUGAAAUUAAGAAAACUAUUGAACUAAUA
Long non-coding RNA from Phascolarctos cinereus (koala), 2425 nucleotides. NCBI's taxonomy places the organism in Eukaryota, Metazoa, Chordata, Mammalia, Diprotodontia, Phascolarctidae. The record is from Ensembl.